This 492-nucleotide ribosomal RNA is filed under the name uncultured bacterium. RNAcentral's name for it is "partial 16S ribosomal RNA". It matches the Rfam family "Bacterial small subunit ribosomal RNA", at positions 29 to 507 of the family's 1533-position model. The record is from RNAcentral.
AGUGAACGCUGGCGGUAGGCCUAACACAUGCAAGUCGAACGGCAGCACAGUAAGAGCUUGCUCUUACGGGUGGCGAGUGGCGGACGGGUGAGGAAUACAUCGGAAUCUACUUUUUCGUGGGGGAUAACGUAGGGAAACUUACGCUAAUACCGCAUAUGCCCUACGGGUGAAAGCAGGGGAUCUUCGGACCUUGCGCGAUUGAAUGAGCCGAUGUCGGAUUAGCUAGUUGGCGGGGUAAAGGCCCACCAAGGCGACGAUCCGUAGCUGGUCUGAGAGGAUGAUCAGCCACACUGGAACUGAGACACGGUCCAGACUCCUACGGGAGGCAGCAGUGGGGAAUAUUGGACAAUGGGGGGAAGCCUGAUCCAGCCAUACCGCGUGGGUGAAGAAGGCCUUCGGGUUGUAAAGCCCUUUUGUUGGGAAAGAAAAGCAGCAGGUUAAUACCCCGCUGUUCUGACGGUACCCAAAGAAUAAGCACCGGCUAACUUCGUG